GUAUUUAACUGAAGAGUUUGAUCCUGGCUCAGAUUGAACGCUGGCGGCGUGCCUAACACAUGCAAGUCGAGCGGUAACAGGCGUAGCAAUACGUGCUGACGAGCGGCGAACGGGUGAGUAAUGCUUUGGAAUCUUCCCAGUAGUGGGGAAUAACCAGUCGAAAGAUUGGCUAAUACCGCAUACGUCCCUGGUUUGAAAGAAUUGGGGGGAAAGCGGGGGAUCGUAAGACCUCUCGCUAUUGGAUGAGCCAAAGUCGGAUUAGCUAGUUGGUGGGGUAAUGGCCUACCAAGGCGACGAUCCGUAGCUGGUCUGAGAGGACGACCAGCCACACCGGAACUGAGACACGGUCCGGACUCCUACGGGAGGCAGCAGUGGGGAAUAUUGGACAAUGGGGGAAACCCUGAUCCAGCGACGCCGCGUGUGUGAAGAAGGCCUGCGGGUUGUAAAGCA
This 450-nucleotide ribosomal RNA is filed under the name Steroidobacteraceae bacterium. RNAcentral describes it as "bacterial SSU rRNA". It matches the Rfam family "Bacterial small subunit ribosomal RNA", at positions 1 to 432 of the family's 1533-position model. The record is from RNAcentral. Lineage: Bacteria; Pseudomonadati; Pseudomonadota; Gammaproteobacteria; Steroidobacterales; Steroidobacteraceae.